RNAcentral lists this long non-coding RNA (425 nucleotides) under Elaeis guineensis (African oil palm). Its description in RNAcentral is "long non-coding RNA (EGUI_LNC033333)". The record is from RNAcentral. Lineage: Eukaryota; Viridiplantae; Streptophyta; Magnoliopsida; Arecales; Arecaceae.
UGUGUGUGAGAGAGAGAGGUCAAGAACUGUGUGCAUUAUAUUUUGUGUAGAAGGGAAAAAGGAGCAAAUCAACUUUGUCAAACCUAGCUGAUUACCUCGCUCAUCUAAAGCUCACCAGCUUUUGGUUUCCUUUAAAGGAAGAAAGCGGUCUGCCUUGCGGAAGGCGGAAAGCAAGCAAUAAUAGAGGGGCGUGCACGUGUGAUGCGCAUUUUUUUUUAUUGCACUCGUUCGUGCUAUUCACCGAAGGCAGGCCGCAUCUUGUGCUUUCCCUACAGUGACGGUGCCGGACACGGAGCGUGCUAAACCAAAUCAUUGGCCGAAUAUGAUGAAACUAGGAGCUCUGAUUUUAUUUUCAGGAGGUAUUUAAUUUAUGAUCAGAAUUAGAAUCAGAGUUGAAAUCUGAAAAUGUGUUUCAUUGGGGAGAG